This 460-nucleotide ribosomal RNA is filed under the name uncultured bacterium. RNAcentral's name for it is "bacterial SSU rRNA". It matches the Rfam family "Bacterial small subunit ribosomal RNA", at positions 345 to 797 of the family's 1533-position model. The record is from RNAcentral.
GGUGCAGCAGUCGGGAAUCUUCCGCAAUGGACGAAAGUCUGACGGAGCAACGCCGCGUGAGUGAUGAAGGCUUUCGGGUCGUAAAACUCUGUUGUUAGGGAAGAACAAGUACGAGAGUAACUGCUCGUACCUUGACGGUACCUAACCAGAAAGCCACGGCUAACUACGUGCCAGCAGCCGCGGUAAUACGUAGGUGGCAAGCGUUAUCCGGAAUUAUUGGGCGUAAAGCGCGCGCAGGCGGUUUCUUAAGUCUGAUGUGAAAGCCCACGGCUCAACCGUGGAGGGUCAUUGGAAACUGGGGAACUUGAGUGCAGAAGAGAAAAGCGGAAUUCCACGUGUAGCGGUGAAAUGCGUAGAGAUGUGGAGGAACACCAGUGGCGAAGGCGGCUUUUUGGUCUGUAACUGACGCUGAGGCGCGAAAGCGUGGGGAGCAAACAGGAUUAGAUACCCCUGUAGUCCG